AACGUAGGGGGCGAGCGUUGUCCGGAAUUACUGGGCGUAAAGGGCGUGUAGGCGGCUCGCGAAGUCAGGAGUGAAAGCCUGGGGCUUAACCCCAGGACUGCUUUUGAAACCAGCGGGCUUGAGUGCAGGAGAGGGAAGUGGAAUUCCCAGUGUAGCGGUGAAAUGCGUAGAUAUUGGGAGGAACACCAGUGGCGAAAGCGGCUUCCUGGCCUGUAACUGACGCUGAGGCGCGAAAGCGUGGGGAGCAAACAGG
This 253-nucleotide ribosomal RNA is filed under the name uncultured bacterium. RNAcentral's name for it is "partial 16S ribosomal RNA". It matches the Rfam family "Bacterial small subunit ribosomal RNA", at positions 524 to 776 of the family's 1533-position model. The record is from RNAcentral.